UACGUAGGGGGCAAGCGUUGUCCGGAAUCAUUGGGCGUAAAGAGCGUGUAGGCGGUUCGAUAAGUCGGCUGUGAAAGUCCAGGGCUCAACCCUGGGAUGCCGGUCGAAACUGUCGGACUAGAGUUCGGAAGAGGCGAGUGGAAUUCCCGGUGUAGCGGUGAAAUGCGCAGAUAUCAGGAAGAACACCCGUGGCGAAGGCGGCUCUCUGGGACGGUACUGACGCUGAGACGCGAAAGCGUGGGGAGCGAACAGG
RNAcentral lists this ribosomal RNA (253 nucleotides) under uncultured bacterium. RNAcentral describes it as "partial 16S ribosomal RNA". It matches the Rfam family "Bacterial small subunit ribosomal RNA", at positions 524 to 776 of the family's 1533-position model. The record is from RNAcentral.